GAUGAACGCUGACAGAAUGCUUAACACAUGCAAGUCAACUUGAAUUUGGGUUUUUAACUUAGAUUUGGGUGGCGGACGGGUGAGUAACGCGUAAAGAACUUGCCUCACAGAUAGGGACAACAUUUGGAAACGAAUGCUAAUACCUGAUAUUAUGAUUUUAGGGCAUCCUAGGAUUAUGAAAGCUAUAUGCGCUGUGAGAGAGCUUUGCGUCCCAUUAGCUAGUUGGAGAGGUAACGGCUCACCAAGGCGAUGAUGGGUAGCCGGCCUGAGAGGGUGAUCGGCCACAAGGGGACUGAGACACGGCCCUUACUCCUACGGGAGGCAGCAGUGGGGAAUAUUGGACAAUGGACCAAGAGUCUGAUCCAGCAAUUCUGUGUGCACGAUGAAGUUUUUCGGAAUGUAAAGUGCUUUCAGUUGGGAAGAAAAAAAUGACGGUACCAACAGAAGAAGUGACGGCUAAAUACGUGCCAGCAGCCGCGGUAAUACGUAUGUCACAAGCGUUAUCCGGAUUUAUUGGGCGUAAAGCGCGUCUAGGUGGUUAUAUAAGUCUGAUGUGAAAAUGCAGGGCUCAACUCUGUAUUGCGUUGGAAACUGUGUAACUAGAGUACUGGAGAGGUAAGCGGAACUACAAGUGUAGAGGUGAAAUUCGUAGAUAUUUGUAGGAAUGCCGAUGGGGAAGCCAGCUUACUGGACAGAUACUGACGCUGAAGCGCGAAAGCGUGGGUAGUAAACAGG
This 735-nucleotide ribosomal RNA is filed under the name uncultured Fusobacterium sp. Its description in RNAcentral is "bacterial SSU rRNA". It matches the Rfam family "Bacterial small subunit ribosomal RNA", at positions 28 to 776 of the family's 1533-position model. The record is from RNAcentral. Lineage: Bacteria; Fusobacteriati; Fusobacteriota; Fusobacteriia; Fusobacteriales; Fusobacteriaceae.